RNAcentral lists this ribosomal RNA (301 nucleotides) under uncultured bacterium. RNAcentral's name for it is "partial 16S ribosomal RNA". It matches the Rfam family "Bacterial small subunit ribosomal RNA", at positions 509 to 809 of the family's 1533-position model. The record is from RNAcentral.
CAGCAGCCGCGGUAAAACAGAGGGUGCGAGCGUUAAUCGGAUUUACUGGGCGUAGAGCGUGCGUAGGCGGCUUUUUAAGUCGGAUGUGAAAUCCCUGAGCUUAACUUAGGAAUUGCAUUCGAUACUGGGAAGCUAGAGUAUGAGAGAGGAUGGUAGAAUUCCAGGUGUAGCGGUGAAAUGCGUAGAGAUCUGGAGGAAUACCGAUGGCGAAGGCAGCCAUCUGGCCUAAUACUGACGCUGAGGUACGAAAGCAUGGGGAGCAAACAGGAUUAGAUACCCCGGUAGUCCCUGUCUCUUAUAU